UACGGAGGGUGCAAGCGUUAUCCGGAAUCACUGGGUUUAAAGGGUGCGUAGGCGGCUGUAUAAGUCAGAGGUGAAAGCCCGGAGCUUAACUUCGGAACUGCCUUUGAUACUGUAUAGCUUGAAAUAGGUUGAGGUCAGCGGAAUGUGGCAUGUAGCGGUGAAAUGCAUAGAGAUGCCAGAGAACACCAAUUGCGAAGGCAGCUGGCUGGACCUUAUUUGACGCUGAGGCACGAAAGAGUGGGGAGCGAACAGG
RNAcentral lists this ribosomal RNA (253 nucleotides) under uncultured bacterium. Its description in RNAcentral is "partial 16S ribosomal RNA". It matches the Rfam family "Bacterial small subunit ribosomal RNA", at positions 524 to 776 of the family's 1533-position model. The record is from RNAcentral.